UUCCAAAAAAAGACCGAAUACGAUUCCUGUAUUCGGUCCAGGGAAAUGGCUCUUGGGAGAGAGCCGUGCGCUAAAAGUUGGCAUUAAUGCAGGCUAAGUCGCCUUGCACUUUAAGAAUAGAUGACGGCGCCAGGUUUUCCAGUUU
Non-coding RNA from Kluyvera intermedia, 145 nucleotides. Lineage: Bacteria; Pseudomonadati; Pseudomonadota; Gammaproteobacteria; Enterobacterales; Enterobacteriaceae. The record is from Rfam.